GUGAUUCUAUGGCUGAAAUUACAGUAGAAAUAGAAUGAUAAAAUGCAGAAAAUGUAAAGAUAGGCUAGGUAGUUUGAGACACCUAGAAUCUCCCAAGUAGAGUGACUACUAAAAUAAUUGCCUAAAAACAAUGGCAGAGAACCUUCUCCUAUUUAAUCAAUCAGAUCCAGAUCUAUUUUCCCUUCCCUCACUGAAUAAGGAAACAUUCCUAUAAUGGUAUGAUUAGUUGUAUCCUUCUUCCCACGUUUCCUUUUAUAAAAUCU
RNAcentral lists this long non-coding RNA (263 nucleotides) under Trifolium pratense (red clover). RNAcentral's name for it is "long non-coding RNA (TPRA_LNC009488)". The record is from RNAcentral. Lineage: Eukaryota; Viridiplantae; Streptophyta; Magnoliopsida; Fabales; Fabaceae.